GAUGAACGCUGGCGGCGUGCCUAAUACAUGCAAGUCGAGCGAACAGACCAGGAGCUUGCUCCUCUGACGUUAUCGGCGGACGGGUGAGUCACACGUGGAUAACCUACCUAUAAGACUGGGAUAACUUCGGGAAACCAGAGCUACUACCGGAUGAUAUAUUGAACCUGAUGGUUCAAUAGUUAAAUACGCUUUUGCUGUCGCUUAUAGACUGAUCAGCGCCGCAUUAGCUAGUUGGUAAGGUAACGGCUUACCAAGGCGAGGAGGCGUAGCCGACCUGAGAGGGAGAUCGGACACACUGGAAGUGAGACAGGGUCCAGACUCCGGCGGUGGGACGCAGUAGGGAAUCUUCCGCGAUGGGCGAAAGGCGAAUGGAGGAACGCCGCGGGAGUGAUGAAGGAGCUCGGAUCGUAAAACUCUGUAAGUAGGAGAGAAGAAAUGUGUAAUUACCCGUGCACAUCAUGACGGUACCGGAAGAGAAAGCCACGGCUAACUACGUG
Molecule: ribosomal RNA, 497 nt
Filed under: uncultured bacterium
Lineage: Bacteria
Description: partial 16S ribosomal RNA
Rfam family: Bacterial small subunit ribosomal RNA
Source: RNAcentral